GAAGCUAUAGCUCAAGUGGUAGAGCACAUGCUUAGUAUGCACGAGGUCCUGGGUUCAAUCCCCAGUAUGUCUG
Molecule: non-coding RNA, 73 nt
Organism: Camelus ferus (Wild Bactrian camel)
Lineage: Eukaryota; Metazoa; Chordata; Mammalia; Artiodactyla; Camelidae
Source: Rfam